CGGCGAUUUCCGAAUGGGGAAACCCAGUGUGAUUCGUCACACUAUCAUUAACUGAAUCCAUAGGUUAAUGAGGCGAACCGGGGGAACUGAAACAUCUAAGUACCCCGAGGAAAAGAAAUCAACCGAGAUUCCCCCAGUAGCGGCGAGCGAACGGGGAGCAGCCCAGAGCCUGAAUCAGUGUGUGUGUUAGUGGAAGCGUCUGGAAAGGCGCGCGAUACAGGGUGACAGCCCCGUACACAAAAAUGCACAUGCUGUGAGCUCGAUGAGUAGGGCGGGACACGUGGUAUCCUGUCUGAAUAUGGGGGGACCAUCCUCCAAGGCUAAAUACUCCUGACUGACCGAUAGUGAACCAGUACCGUGAGGGAAAGGCGAAAAGAACCCCGGCGAGGGGAGUGAAAAAGAACCUGAAACCGUGUACGUACAAGCAGUGGGAGCACAGAGCAAUCUGUGUGACUGCGUACCUUUUGUAUAAUGGGUCAGCGACUUAUAUUCUGUAGCAAGGUUAACCGAAUAGGGGAGCCGAAGGGAAACCGAGUCUUAACUGGGCGUUAAGUUGCAGGGUAUAGACCCGAAACCCGGUGAUCUAGCCAUGGGCAGGUUGAAGGUUGGGUAACACUAACUGGAGGACCGAACCGACUAAUGUUGAAAAAUUAGCGGAUGACUUGUGGCUGGGGGUGAAAGGCCAAUCAAACCGGGAGAUAGCUGGUUCUCCCCGAAAGCUAUUUAGGUAGCGCCUCGUGAAUUCAUCUCCGGGGGUAGAGCACUGUUUCGGCAAGGGGGUCAUCCCGACUUACCAACCCGAUGCAAACUGCGAAUACCGGAGAAUGUUAUCACGGGAGACACACGGCGGGUGCUAACGUCCGUCGUGAAGAGGGAAACAACCCAGACCGCCAGCUAAGGUCCCAAAGUCAUGGUUAAGUGGGAAACGAUGUGGGAAGGCCCAGACAGCCAGGAUGUUGGCUUAGAAGCAGCCAUCAUUUAAAGAAAGCGUAAUAGCUCACUGGUCGAGUCGGCCUGCGCGGAAGAUGUAACGGGGCUAAACCAUGCACCGAAGCUGCGGCAGCGACGCUUAUGCGUUGUUGGGUA
This 1086-nucleotide ribosomal RNA is filed under the name Escherichia coli. RNAcentral describes it as "bacterial LSU rRNA". It matches the Rfam family "Bacterial large subunit ribosomal RNA", at positions 105 to 1230 of the family's 2925-position model. Lineage: Bacteria; Pseudomonadati; Pseudomonadota; Gammaproteobacteria; Enterobacterales; Enterobacteriaceae. The record is from RNAcentral.